GUCGNGGGGAUACGUANGGGAACUUACGCUAAUACCGCAUACGACCGAGAGGUGAAAACGGCGGACCGCAAGGCGUCGCGCGGCUGGAUGAGCCCAUGUCGGAUUAGCUAGUUGGCGGGGUAAAGGCCCACCAAGGCGACGAUCCGUAGCUGGUCUGAGAGGAUGAUCAGCCACACUGGAACUGAGACACGGUCCAGACUCCUACGGGAGGCAGCAGUGGGGAAUAUUGGACAAUGGGCGCAAGCCUGAUCCAGCAAUGCCGCGUGGGUGAAGAAGGCCUUCGGGUUGUAAAGCCCUUUUGUACGGGAAGAAAUCCUGUCGGUUAAUACCCGGCGGGGAUGACGGUACCGUAAGAAUAAGCACCGGCUAACUUCGUGCCAGCAGCCGCGGUAAUACGAAGGGUGCAAGCGUUAAUCGGAAUUACUGGGCGUAAAGCGUGCGUANGCGGUUGGCUAAGUCAGAUGUGAAAGCCCUGGGCUCACCUGGGNAUGGCAUUUGAAACUGGCUGGCUAANUGUGGUAAAAGAUGGCCAAUUCC
Molecule: ribosomal RNA, 537 nt
Filed under: uncultured Pseudoxanthomonas sp.
Lineage: Bacteria; Pseudomonadati; Pseudomonadota; Gammaproteobacteria; Lysobacterales; Lysobacteraceae
Description: bacterial SSU rRNA
Rfam family: Bacterial small subunit ribosomal RNA
Source: RNAcentral